RNAcentral lists this ribosomal RNA (237 nucleotides) under uncultured bacterium. RNAcentral's name for it is "partial 16S ribosomal RNA". It matches the Rfam family "Bacterial small subunit ribosomal RNA", at positions 524 to 761 of the family's 1533-position model. The record is from RNAcentral.
UACGUAGGUGGCAAGCGUUGUCCGGAUUUACUGGGCGUAAGAGCGCGCAGGCGGUCGAUCAAGUCGCGUGUGAAAGCCCCCGGCUCAACUGGGGAGGGUCACGCGAUACUGAUCGACUCGAAGGCAGGAGAGGGUAGUGGAAUUCCCGGUGUAGUGGUGAAAUGCGUAGAUAUCGGGAGGAACACCAGUGGCGAAGGCGACUACCUGGCCUGUUCUUGACGCUGAGGCGCGAAAGCU